This 760-nucleotide ribosomal RNA is filed under the name Prevotella melaninogenica. Its description in RNAcentral is "bacterial SSU rRNA". It matches the Rfam family "Bacterial small subunit ribosomal RNA", at positions 28 to 776 of the family's 1533-position model. The record is from RNAcentral. Lineage: Bacteria; Pseudomonadati; Bacteroidota; Bacteroidia; Bacteroidales; Prevotellaceae.
GAUGAACGCUAGCUACAGGCUUAACACAUGCAAGUCGAGGGGAAACGGCAUUGAGUGCUUGCACUCUUUGGACGUCGACCGGCGCACGGGUGAGUAACGCGUAUCCAACCUUCCCAUUACUGUGGGAUAACCUGCCGAAAGGCAGACUAAUACCGCAUAGUCUUCGAUGACGGCAUCAGAUUUGAAGUAAAGAUAAUCGGUAAUGGAUGGGGAUGCGUCUGAUUAGCUUGUUGGCGGGGUAACGGCCCACCAAGGCAACGAUCAGUAGGGGUUCUGAGAGGAAGGUCCCCCACAUUGGAACUGAGACACGGUCCAAACUCCUACGGGAGGCAGCAGUGAGGAAUAUUGGUCAAUGGACGGAAGUCUGAACCAGCCAAGUAGCGUGCAGGAUGACGGCCCUAUGGGUUGUAAACUGCUUUUGUAUGGGGAUAAAGUUAGGGACGUGUCCCUAUUUGCAGGUACCAUACGAAUAAGGACCGGCUAAUUCCGUGCCAGCAGCCGCGGUAAUACGGAAGGUCCAGGCGUUAUCCGGAUUUAUUGGGUUUAAAGGGAGCGUAGGCUGGAGAUUAAGUGUGUUGUGAAAUGUAGACGCUCAACGUCUGAAUUGCAGCGCAUACUGGUUUCCUUGAGUACGCACAACGUUGGCGGAAUUCGUCGUGUAGCGGUGAAAUGCUUAGAUAUGACGAAGAACUCCGAUUGCGAAGGCAGCUGACGGGAGCGCAACUGACGCUUAAGCUCGAAGGUGCGGGUAUCAAACAGG